This 69-nucleotide transfer RNA is filed under the name Hylodes meridionalis (Rio Grande tree toad). Its description in RNAcentral is "tRNA-Ala". It matches the Rfam family "tRNA". Rfam says of the family: Transfer RNA (tRNA) molecules are approximately 80 nucleotides in length. Their secondary structure includes four short double-helical elements and three loops (D, anti-codon, and T loops). The record is from RNAcentral. Lineage: Eukaryota; Metazoa; Chordata; Amphibia; Anura; Hylodidae.
GAGGCUUUAUCUUAACAAAAGUACUUGAGUUGCAUUCAGGUGAUGUAGGUUAAACUCCUGCAAGUCUCA